UUUCUCUGUGUCUCUUCAAGUUCCACACUCCAUUUUUGGGGUCCCAAGCCCUUUAUACGGGCGCUCAUGGACUCACAGACUCCACCACACCCAAGAGACAAUUUAUUUAUUUAUUUAAAUAUUCACAUGUUUAUUCACUGCACUUU
Molecule: non-coding RNA, 146 nt
Organism: Caenorhabditis elegans
Lineage: Eukaryota; Metazoa; Nematoda; Chromadorea; Rhabditida; Rhabditidae
Source: Ensembl